AGAGUUUGAUCCUGGCUCAGAUUGAACGCUGGCGGCAUGCCUUACACAUGCAAGUCGAACGGCAGCACGGGAGCAACCCUGGUGGCGAGUGGCGAACGGGUGAGUAAUACAUCGGAACGUGUCCUGUAGUGGGGGAUAGCCCGGCGAAAGCCGGAUUAAUACCGCAUACGCUCUACGGAGGAAAGGGGGGGAUCUUAGGACCUCUCGCUACAGGGGCGGCCGAUGGCAGAUUAGCUAGUUGGUGGGGUAAAGGCCUACCAAGGCGACGAUCUGUAGCUGGUCUGAGAGGACGACCAGCCACACUGGGACUGAGACACGGCCCAGACUCCUACGGGAGGCAGCAGUGGGGAAUUUUGGACAAUGGGCGCAAGCCUGAUCCAGCAAUGCCGCGUGUGUGAAGAAGGCCUUCGGGUUGUAAAGCACUUUUGUCCGGAAAGAAAUCCUUUGGGCUAAUACCCUGAGGGGAUGACGGUACCGGAAGAAUAAGCACCGGCUAACUACGUGCCAGCAGCCGCGGUAAUACGUAGGGUGCAAGCGUUAAUCGGAAUUACUGGGCGUAAAGCGUGCGCAGGCGGUUCGCUAAGACAGAUGUGAAAUCCCCGGGCUUAACCUGGGAACUGCAUUUGUGACUGGCGGGCUAGAGUAUGGCAGAGGGGGGUAGAAUUCCACGUAGCAGUGAAAUGCGUAGAGAUGUGGAGGAAUACCGAUGGCGAAGGCAGCCCCCUGGGCCAAUACUGACGCUCAUGCACGAAAGCGUGGGGAGCAAACAGGAUUAGAUACCCCCGUAGUCC
Molecule: ribosomal RNA, 791 nt
Filed under: uncultured bacterium
Lineage: Bacteria
Description: bacterial SSU rRNA
Rfam family: Bacterial small subunit ribosomal RNA
Source: RNAcentral